AGAAACACCACCUAUUAGUCCAUCAUCCACCGUCGGAUUGAUCUGGUUUUUUUAUAUGUUGUGCGCCGUAAUAUGAUCUACAAACUGACCGUUCGGAUCUCGAUUAUCUUCUUCCGUUUGAGACUUUUUGGGAUUGCAAUAUUUCUGGAAAAAACUGUGUUCGGGGCAGACAAAGUUGCCGGCCUAUUCAGCUUCUGUUCACCAUUGGAUCUGCUCUAAUUUUGGUAGGGAUGUUCACCCAAGUCUCCUCUUCACUCUGAACGGUGAAGAUCGGAUUUGGAACCAUUUUGCACAGGUUGGAAUUCUGGGUUCAUUUUUUGCCAAUUUUCAGGUCAUCUAUGUUCCUCGUUCAUCGUGGCUAUUUUAACCGCUGGAUAAGGCUGGGUUUUUUAUAUGUUAGACGUAACUUGAUUGGCUCGAACUUGACCGUCGGGAUUUAUUUGGUUUUUCUUUAUUUGUUAGUUUUGCUUGGUUCGUAAUUUGGUGGUUUGGGAUAAAGAAGGAGAAAGGAAGUGUGAACCGAGAGUCUGUGUG
RNAcentral lists this long non-coding RNA (534 nucleotides) under Populus tremula. RNAcentral's name for it is "long non-coding RNA (PTRE_LNC001797)". Lineage: Eukaryota; Viridiplantae; Streptophyta; Magnoliopsida; Malpighiales; Salicaceae. The record is from RNAcentral.